This 465-nucleotide ribosomal RNA is filed under the name uncultured bacterium. RNAcentral describes it as "partial 16S ribosomal RNA". It matches the Rfam family "Bacterial small subunit ribosomal RNA", at positions 28 to 507 of the family's 1533-position model. The record is from RNAcentral.
GACGAACGCUGGCGGCGUGCUUAACACAUGCGAGUCGAACGGAAAGGCCCUGCUUGCAGGGUACUCGAGUGGCGAACGGGUGAGUAACACGUGGGUGAUCUGCCCUGCACUUCGGGAUAAGCCUGGGAAACUGGGUCUAAUACCGGAUAGGAGCCAUUUUUAGUGUGAUGGUUGGAAAGUUUUUUCGGUGUAGGAUGAGCUCGCGGCCUAUCAGCUUGUUGGUGGGGUAAUGGCCUACCAAGGCGGCGACGGGUAGCCGGCCUGGGAGGGUGGACGGCCACAUUGGGACUGAGAUACGGCCCAGACUCCUACGGGAGGCAGCAGUGGGGAAUAUUGCACAAUGGGCGCAAGCCUGAUGCAGCGACGCCGCGUGGGGGAUGACGGCCUUCGGGUUGUAAACUCCUUUCGCUAGGGACGAAGCUUUUUGUGACGGUACCUAGAUAAGAAGCACCGGCUAACUACGUG